AAGUCGUAACAAGGUCUCCGUAGGUGAACCUGCGGAGGGAUCAUCAUAGGAAAACUAUUUUGUGAAUUUAUCACACCGAGCUGUGGGGAUUUCUGUGGGGUGGGGGAAAGGAGGAGGAUUUGCAUACUCUGAAGUUCUUUUCUCUCUCACUCUCACGGGGAGCUGCACAGCUUCACACAAACGAUCAUAACUAUCAGUUUGAGAAUUUGAUUUGGUGGUGGUGUUGAGUUUUUGUUUUUGUGAAGAGAAAAGUGUUUGCCUGAUACUGAUAUACAACUAUUCUUCUCCAAUGCCAUUGAUUUCGGUUGAUGGUCACUGGGCUGAAUAAUAUGGAUAAUCAAUAUACAACUUUCAACAACGGAUCUCUUGGCUCUCA
RNAcentral lists this unclassified non-coding RNA (376 nucleotides) under fungal sp. Its description in RNAcentral is "partial internal transcribed spacer region". The stretch from base 1 to 46 matches the Rfam family "Eukaryotic small subunit ribosomal RNA", at positions 1786 to 1831 of the family's 1831-position model. Lineage: Eukaryota; Fungi. The record is from RNAcentral.